Non-coding RNA from Nylanderia fulva, 728 nucleotides. NCBI's taxonomy places the organism in Eukaryota, Metazoa, Arthropoda, Insecta, Hymenoptera, Formicidae. The record is from RefSeq and is a predicted model, not a curated record.
CGAACAAAAAAGAGAAACGAAGUUACCAGAGCAAUACGUGCGUCGGACACAAUCCACCGUUUCGGAAGAGAGGAUCAGGAAUGCGAAGCGGAGUGCGAUCAACAACGUCGUUGCAAUCGUCGUUGCUAAUGAACAAACAUAAAUUAAUUUACGGCGAUAUUUUGUUGAAAUACGCGACGGAUAUUUGUCAACGACUGUACAAUACAAAUGAAGCAAUGUGAAAAUACAUCAGGUUCCACUAUAUAUUUUUCGGAUUCUACAAAAAAAAACACAAAGGAUUAUCACAAGUUUCAAACUUGAACUCCACAUCAUCUCAACAAGAUGCAAAUGACAACGAUACUUCAUACGAAAUAGAUGAAGAACCAUGCAUCGUUACAAAAGAAAAAAAUCGAAACAAUGUAGUACAUAAUCGACAUGUUAAUAAAAUUAAGGAAGUUGAUCGAUCUAACAUAUAUGCGCGAGAAAAUCGAUAUACAAAUGAGGAAAAAGAAAAUAACAAUUUAAAAGAUCAGUCUUCACAAGCUGCAAUUAUGGAUCAUUUAAAGAGAUUGACUAGAGAAAUAGCAACUGUAAAAUACGAUAUGAGACAAGCACUAUCUCUAUUGGAUAUUUUAGUGGACAAAAGCAACAGAAGCACAGAAUGUGAAAAUACGAGAUUUUCUUACGAAGGCGCUAAAAGUCGAUUUCCUUUAGAAACUAGAGCCCAAUUAACGGAAAUUGAGGAAAUU